Molecule: unclassified non-coding RNA, 399 nt
Filed under: soil metagenome
Description: partial contains 5.8S ribosomal RNA, internal transcribed spacer 2, and large subunit ribosomal RNA
Rfam family: 5.8S ribosomal RNA (bases 1-120)
Source: RNAcentral
GAUGAAGAACGUAGCGAAAUGCGAUACUUGGUGUGAAUUGCAGAAUCCCGUGAACCAUCGAGUCUUUGAACGCAAGUUGCGCCCGAAGCCUCGGCUAAGGGCACGUCUGCCUGGGCGUCACGCAUCGCGUCUCCCCCAAACCGCCAAGGCGGAGGGGAAGGAAGAUGGCUUCCCGUGCCUCACCCGGGCGCGGUUGGCCUAAAUUUGGAGCCCGCGGCACUUAGCUCUCGCGGCGAUAGGUGGUGAACAAGGCCUUGGCCGUGCAAACAACCCGCUGCGAAGCUCUAUGUCACGUGCGCUCGUCGGACCCUUUGAAGUUGCCUUUGGUGACUUAAAACCUUUGCGACCCCAGGUCAGGCGGGGCUACCUGCUGAAUUUAAGCAUAUCAUAAGCGGAGGA